RNAcentral lists this ribosomal RNA (418 nucleotides) under Streptomyces sp. SP18CM02. RNAcentral's name for it is "partial 23S ribosomal RNA". It matches the Rfam family "Bacterial large subunit ribosomal RNA", at positions 2182 to 2599 of the family's 2925-position model. The record is from RNAcentral. Lineage: Bacteria; Bacillati; Actinomycetota; Actinomycetes; Kitasatosporales; Streptomycetaceae.
UGAGUCGUCGUAGACAGCCCAGGCUGGUCUUGCUGGAUGUGAAACCUGGGUCCGUGAUCCGGAUCAGGGACAGGGUCUGAUGGGUAGUUUAACUGGGGCGGUUGCCUCCUAAAGAGUAACGGAGGCGCCCAAAGGUUCCCUCAGCCUGGUUGGCACUCAGGUGUUGAGUGUACGUGCACAAGGGAGCUUGACUGUGAGACCGACGGGUCGAGCAGGGACGAAAGGCGGGACUAGUGAUCCGGCAGUGGCUUGGGGCAGCGCUGUCGCUCAACGGAUAAAAGGUACCCCGGGGAUAACAGGCUGAUCUUCCCCAAGAGUCCAUAUCGACGGGAUGGUUUUGCACCUCGAUGUCGGCUCGUCGCCUCAUGGGGCUGGCGUCGGUCCCUAGGGUUGGGCUGGUCGCCCAGUAAAGCGGUAC